UACGUAGGGUGCAAGCGUUAAUCGGAAUUACUGGGCGUAAAGCGUGCGCAGGCGGUGAUGUAAGACAGUUGUGAAAUCCCCGGGCUCAACCUGGGAACUGCAUCUGUGACUGCAUCGCUGGAGUGCGGCAGAGGGGGAUGGAAUUCCGCGUAUAGCAGUGAAAUGCGUAGAUAUGCGGAGGAACACCGAUGGCGAAGGCAAUCCCCUGGGCCUGCACUGACGCUCAUGCACGAAAGCGUGGGGAGCAAACAGG
RNAcentral lists this ribosomal RNA (253 nucleotides) under uncultured bacterium. RNAcentral describes it as "partial 16S ribosomal RNA". It matches the Rfam family "Bacterial small subunit ribosomal RNA", at positions 524 to 776 of the family's 1533-position model. The record is from RNAcentral.